GAUGAACGCUGGCGGCGUGCCUAAUACAUGCAAGUCGAGCGAACAGAUGAGGAUCUUGCUCCUCUGACGUUAGCGGCGCACGGGUGAGUAACACGUGUAUAACCUACCUAUAAGACUGGUAUAAUUUCGGGAAACCGGCGCUAAUACCGGAUAAUAUACUGAUCCGCGUGGUUCGAUAGUGAAAGACGGUUUUGCUGUCACUUAUAGAUGGAUCUGGGCCGCAUUAGCUAGUUGGUAAGGUAACGGCUUAUCAAGGCGACGAUGCGUAUCCGACCUGAGAGAGUGGUAGGCCGCAUUGGAGCUGAACCACGGUCCAGGCGCCUGCGGGAGGCAGCAGUAGGGAAUCGGCCGCAAUGGGCGGGAGCAUGACGGAGCAGCGCCGCGUGAGAGAUGACGACCUUCGGAGCGUGAAACUCGGUUACUAGGGAUAAACAAAUGUGUAAUGAACUGUACACGUAUUGACGGUACCUAGUCAGAAAGCCACGGCUAACUACGUG
This 497-nucleotide ribosomal RNA is filed under the name uncultured bacterium. Its description in RNAcentral is "partial 16S ribosomal RNA". It matches the Rfam family "Bacterial small subunit ribosomal RNA", at positions 28 to 507 of the family's 1533-position model. The record is from RNAcentral.